This 497-nucleotide ribosomal RNA is filed under the name uncultured bacterium. Its description in RNAcentral is "partial 16S ribosomal RNA". It matches the Rfam family "Bacterial small subunit ribosomal RNA", at positions 28 to 507 of the family's 1533-position model. The record is from RNAcentral.
GAUGAACGCUGGCGGCGUGCCUAAUACAUGCAAGUCGAGCGAACGGACGAGAAGCUUGCUUCUCUGAUGUUAGCGGCGGACGGGUGAGUAACACGUGGAUAACCUACCUAUAAGACUGGGAUAACUUCGGGAAACCGGAGCUAAUACCGGAUGAUAUUUCGAACCGCAUGGUUCAAAAGUGAAAGACGGUCUUGCUGUCACUUAUAGAUGGAUCCGCGCUGCAUUAGCUAGUUGGUAAGGUAACGGCUUACCAAGGCAACGAUGCAUAGCCGAUCUGAGAGGGUGAUCGGCCACACUGGAACUGAGACACGGUCCAGACUCCUACGGGAGGCAGCAGUAGGGAAUCUUCCGCAAUGGGCGAAAGCCUGACGGAGCAACGCCGCGUGAGUGAUGAAGGUCUUCGGAUCGUAAAACUCUGUUAUUAGGGAAGAACAUAUGUGUAAGUAACUGUGCACAUCUUGACGGUACCUAAUCAGAAAGCCACGGCUAACUACGUG